AACGAACGCUGGCGGCAUGCCUAACACAUGCAAGUCGAACGGGAUCCUGGCUUCGGUCAGGUGAGAGUGGCGGACGGGUGAGUAACGCGUGGGAACCUGCCCAGUGGUGGGGGAUAACUGCGGGAAACUGCAGCUAAUACCGCAUGAGCCCGAGAGGGGAAAGAUUUAUCGCCAUUGGAGGGGCCCGCGUUCGAUUAGGUAGUUGGUGAGGUAACGGCUCACCAAGCCGACGAUCGAUAGCUGGUCUGAGAGGAUGAUCAGCCACACUGGGACUGAGAUACGGCCCAGACUCCUACGGGAGGCAGCAGUGGGAAUAUUGGACAAUGGGCGAAAGCCUGAUCCAGCAAUGCCGCGUGAGUGAUGAAGGCCUUAGGGUUGUAAAGCUCUUUUACCCGGGAUGAUAAUGACAGUACCGGGAGAAUAAGCUCCGGCUAACUCGUGCCAGCAGCCGCGGUAAU
This 458-nucleotide ribosomal RNA is filed under the name uncultured bacterium. Its description in RNAcentral is "bacterial SSU rRNA". It matches the Rfam family "Bacterial small subunit ribosomal RNA", at positions 29 to 524 of the family's 1533-position model. The record is from RNAcentral.